Podarcis lilfordi (Lilford's wall lizard) is the source of this 2133-nucleotide non-coding RNA. The record is from the annotation of a GenBank genome assembly. NCBI's taxonomy places the organism in Eukaryota, Metazoa, Chordata, Lepidosauria, Squamata, Lacertidae.
GUCUUGCCCGACGGAGAGAGCGAGAGCCGUCCCAGAGGAGAUGAAGCGGCCGAGUUGCCGGGCGCGGAUAGGAAAAUGAUCCGGCCUCGGCCUUGCCGGGUGGGAUUCGGCUGCUGGCGGGAGGCCUCUCAGGCAAGGGGCGGCCGAGGAAGGGCGCCCUUCACACGAGACGUGCCGCCGCCGCCGCCUCAAUGAGGUGCCCACACGGGUAGGGGAGGCCCCGAUGGUUAAGCCCGGUCUGCGUUGGUGCUGCCGCCUGUUCGUCCGGCGGCCCAGAGUACCGCCGCGGCGGAGCCCCGAGGCCUGUCUGGAAGCGGGUUCCCACAGCGCCGCGAGGUGGGGGACAGGGAACCGCCGGCGGCGGCGGGACUUGGGUUCCCCUCCCUUCGGCAAACCCAUUUUGUCCUUCUGGGUUUCUUUGAGUUUCUUAAUUGAGCGGGGAAGAGUCAGUUGAGGGGGGCGGGGCGGGGGAAUGAAGGGCUGUGUGGACGAGCCCUGGGCGGGCUUUGUCCAGCUACAGAGGAGCCUCGCUGCUGAUAACGGGGCAAAGAGAGAGAGGUGGCGGGAGUCGGAGGCACUGCAGUCCCCGGUUCAGAAAUGGAGCUGCCGUCCCUAUCCAGAUGCGCCAGGUGCCUCCCAGCCAGAUACAAGGCUACAGGGAGGAGAGAUGUCCUAGUUUAAAACUAGGGCAUGAAAGGAUCAGAAAAAUCCUCAGUCGCUUGCCUUUUCUCUUGCAUUGUGCACUCAUUGCUGGUGCUUUUUUUUUAAAUAACAAAAAACAUUUUUUAUUAAAGCUUUUCCUCGUUUACAAAAGCACAUGCAUUGUCUCUUUCUUCAGGUUGUGUUUUCUACAGAUCAGUUACAUUUGCCCUGAGACAUUGGUGUUUGUUAUAUGCAGCAUAGGGUUGGGAAGAAAAGAGGGAAGCAGGAGAGAGGAUGGGGCAGUAAACUUUAUUUUCUUUUACUUAGUGUAUGCAUGGGGUUUUUGUGUCAGCUCUCACUUGGGUAGGUUCUCUUUCUAUACGUUUACUUGGUGGUGAGACAGGUUGGGGUGGGCUUGGGUGUGGUUGAUUGUCUUUGAUUGGCUGCAGUUCGAUUUGUUUGUGCGAAUGUGAGGGGGUUGUUGGGUUAAGUUACGGUAACCAUAUUGAAGUGUUCUAGUUACAGGUAGGUAGCCGUGUUGGUCUGCCGUAGUCGAAACAAAAUUUAAAAAUUCCUUCCAGUAGCACCUUAUCUGAAGUGUGCAUUUACACAAAAGCUCAUACCAAUAACAAACUUAGUUGGUCUCUAAGGUGCUACUGAAAGGAAUUUUCAUAUUGAAUUGUGUGAUGUCGGUGGGUUCAUGUUGUCUUGUUGGGCCGUGUAUAUGAUAAAGGGGAGCCAUACCAGAGUGAAGACGUCCUCUUCUAUUUGUCCCCGUAUCAGUUACAGUCUAUUGGUUAGCUUUUCUAGUACAGUGGUACCUCGCAAGACGAAUGCCUCGCAAGACGAAAAACGCGCAAGACGAAAGAGUUUUUCAUUUUUUGUGUUGCUUCACAAGACGAAUUUCCCUAUGGGCUUGCUUCGCAAGACGAAAAACGAAAACGUCUUGCAAGUUUGUUUCCUUUUUCUUAAAACCGUUAAUACCCUAUGGGAAACCGUGCUUCGCAAGACGAAAAAACUCGCAGAACGAAUUAAUUUCGUCUUGCGAGGCACCACUGUAAUGCUGUUUCCCAUACUACUUGAUACCAGCGUUCCAUGUUUAUUUCUGACAGGUCCCUCCAGUGUCUGGCUAUGAUGUUUCUGGAUGCUGAGAGUAGGUGGAUUAUGAGCUCUUUAUAGUGUGUUCAGUAGGGCCAGUUCUGGGCUGACUUCUAGUACCUGUUUAGUUAUUUUGCUUAUUUCUUGUACGAUUGCUGUCCAGAAGAGUUGGGUUUGGGGGCAUUCCCACCAGAUGUGGAGGUAUGUGCCUAUGGAGGUGCAGCCUCUCCAGCAUUUUGGUGAGGUUCCUGGACAUAGCAGCACCAGUUUACGUGGUGUUAGGUACCAAGUGAGUUCCUUUCUUUUUGCUGAUAUGGAUUUAAAGGGAGUUACUGAUGCUUGUUUUUAAAACCUUUUCAGGCUUGCCUGAAAAGAUGUAUAUAAAUACCUUAC